UUCCAGACUCCUACGGGAGGCAGCAGUGAGGAAUAUUGGUCAAUGGGCGGGAGCCUGAACCAGCCAAGUCGCGUGAGGGAAGACGGUCCUAUGGAUUGUAAACCUCUUUAGGCGGGGAGCAAUGCCGGGCACGCGUGUCCGGAGGGAGAGUACCCGCAGAAUAAGCAUCGGCUAACUCCGUGCCAGCAGCCGCGGUAAUACGGAGGAUGCGAGCGUUAUCCGGAUUUAUUGGGUUUAAAGGGUGCGUAGGCGGCAUUAUAAGUUAGUGGUAAAAUAUUGGGGCUUCACCUCACUACGCCAUUAAUACUGUAGAGCUAGAGAACAGACGAGGUAGGCGGAAUAAGUUAAGUAGCGGUGAAAUGCAUAGAUAUAACUUAGAACACCGAUAGCGAAGGCAGCUUACCAGACUGAGUCUGACGCUGAUGCACGAGAGCAUGGGUAGCGAACAGGAUUAGAUACCCGCGUACC
Molecule: ribosomal RNA, 468 nt
Filed under: uncultured bacterium
Lineage: Bacteria
Description: bacterial SSU rRNA
Rfam family: Bacterial small subunit ribosomal RNA
Source: RNAcentral